UUACACAUGCAAGUCGAAACGGCAGGCACGGGGCGAACCUGGUGGCGAGUGGCGAACGGGUGAGUAAUGCAUCGGAACGUGCCAUUGAGUGGGGGGUAACGUAGCGAAAGUUACGCUAAUACCGCAUAUUCUGUGAGCAGGAAAGCAGGGGAUCGCAAGACCUUGCGCUCUUUGAGCGGCCGAUGUCAGAUUAGCUAGUUGGUGAGGUAACGGCUUACCAAGGCGACGAUCUGUAGCGGGUCUGAGAGGAUGAUCCGCCACACUGGAACUGAGACACGGUCCAGACUCCUACGGGAGGCAGCAGUGGGGAAUUUUGGACAAUGGGGGCAACCCUGAUCCAGCCAUGCCGCGUGAGUGAAGAAGGCCUUCGGGUUGUAAAGCUCUUUCGGCCGGGAAGAAAUCGCAUGGGUUAAUACCCUGUGUGGAUGACGGUACCGGCAUAAGAAGCACCGGCUAACUACGUG
This 464-nucleotide ribosomal RNA is filed under the name uncultured bacterium. RNAcentral describes it as "bacterial SSU rRNA". It matches the Rfam family "Bacterial small subunit ribosomal RNA", at positions 49 to 507 of the family's 1533-position model. The record is from RNAcentral.